CUGCCAUACAACAAAAAUCGUGUGUUACAAGUGUUUACGCUUCGAAUUAUCGUGUCGUUUUGAGAUAGCGAAAAGCGUAGUAGAGGGAGGCGAGAGCCGCCGUAAAACAGAGCCCCCACCAACAGUUCUCAAGUACAUUUUUUCCAAC
Caenorhabditis elegans is the source of this 148-nucleotide non-coding RNA. The record is from Ensembl. Lineage: Eukaryota; Metazoa; Nematoda; Chromadorea; Rhabditida; Rhabditidae.